UGAGGAAUAUUGGUCAAUGGGCGCAAGCCUGAACCAGCAAUGCCGCGUGUAGGACGAAGGGGCUUUGCCCUGUAAACUACUGUCAGAUGGGUUGAAAAGGGAGCUAGGCUUCUGGAGACGGUACCAUCAGAGGAAGGGACGGCUAACUACGUGCCAGCAGCCGCGGUAAUACGUAGGUCCCGAGCGUUGUCCGGAUUUACUGGGUAUAAAGGGUGCGUAGGCGGUUUUGUGCGUCAGAGGUGAAAGGUCAGUGCUUAACAUUGAUACUGCCUUUGAAACGGCGAAACUUGAGUAUGAGAGAGGUUUGUAGAAUUCCUGGUGUAGCGGUGAAAUGCGUAGAUAUCAGGAGGAAUACCGGUGGCGAAGGCGGCAAACUGGCUCAUAACUGACGCUGAGGCAC
RNAcentral lists this ribosomal RNA (400 nucleotides) under uncultured bacterium. Its description in RNAcentral is "bacterial SSU rRNA". It matches the Rfam family "Bacterial small subunit ribosomal RNA", at positions 355 to 754 of the family's 1533-position model. The record is from RNAcentral.